AUACAUACCUGGCAGGGGAGAUACCAUGACCACUAAGGUGGUUCUUCCAGGAAGAGGCUACCCAUUGCACUUUGGGUGUGCUGAUGUCUGUGGCAUCCCCAAACAGGGGAUACUCAACUGCAAAAUUUGUGAUAGUUCAGGACUGCGUUUGCGCCAGAA
Small nuclear RNA from Chiloscyllium plagiosum (whitespotted bambooshark), 159 nucleotides. RefSeq annotates it as U1 spliceosomal RNA. Lineage: Eukaryota; Metazoa; Chordata; Chondrichthyes; Orectolobiformes; Hemiscylliidae. The record is from RefSeq and is a predicted model, not a curated record.